RNAcentral lists this ribosomal RNA (833 nucleotides) under uncultured archaeon. RNAcentral describes it as "bacterial SSU rRNA". It matches the Rfam family "Archaeal small subunit ribosomal RNA", at positions 85 to 900 of the family's 1478-position model. The record is from RNAcentral.
ACGGCUCAGUAACACGUGGCUAACCUACCCUUGGGACGGGGACAACCCCGGGAAACUGGGGCUAAUCCCCGAUGGGUGAGGAGGCCUGGAAUGGUUCCUCGCCGAAAGGGCGCUGAAACCAUGCUUUUCAGCGUUGCCCAAGGACGGGGCCGCGGCCGAUCAGGUUGUUGGUGAGGUAACGGCUCACCAAGCCUUUGACCGGUACGGGCCGUGAGAGCGGGAGCCCGGAGAUGGGCACUGAGACAAGGGCCCAGGCCCUACGGGGCGCAGCAGGCGCGAAAACUCCGCAAUGUGCGAAAGCGUGACGGGGCUAUCUCGAGUGCCCUUCCGCUGAGGAUGGCUUUUCCACGGUGUAAGGAGCCGUGGGAAUAAGGAGAGGGCAAGACUGGUGCCAGCAGCCGCGGUAAUACCAGCUCUCCGAGUGGUAGGGAUGAUUAUUGGGCUUAAAGCGUCCGUAGCCGGCCCGGUAAGUCUCUCGUCAAAUCCAGCGACCUAAUCGUUGGACUGCGGGAGAUACUGUUGGGCUAGGGGGCGGGAGAAGCCGACGGUAUUCCCGGGGUAGGGGUGAAAUCCUAUAAUCCCGGGAGGACCACCAGUGGCGAAGGCGGUCGGCUAGAACGCGCUCGACGGUGAUGGACGAAAGCUGGGGGAGCGAACCGGAUUAGAUACCCGGGUAGUCCCAGCUGUAAACGAUGCGGGCUAGGUGUUGGGGGGGCUACGAGCCUCUUCAGUGCCGCAGCGAAGGCAUUAAGCCUGCCGCCUGGGGAGUACGGCCGCAAGGCUGAAACUUAAAGGAAUUGGCGGGGGAGCACCACAAGGGGUGAAGCUUGCGU